RNAcentral lists this ribosomal RNA (520 nucleotides) under Alternaria alternata. Its description in RNAcentral is "eukaryotic LSU rRNA". The stretch from base 161 to 314 matches the Rfam family "5.8S ribosomal RNA". The record is from RNAcentral. RNAcentral also lists the same sequence under 2 other names. Lineage: Eukaryota; Fungi; Ascomycota; Dothideomycetes; Pleosporales; Pleosporaceae.
AUAUGAAGGCGGGCUGGAACCUCUCGGGGUUACAGCCUUGCUGAAUUAUUCACCCUUGUCUUUUGCGUACUUCUUGUUUCCUUGGUGGGUUCGCCCACCACUAGGACAAACAUAAACCUUUUGUAAUUGCAAUCAGCGUCAGUAACAAAUUAAUAAUUACAACUUUCAACAACGGAUCUCUUGGUUCUGGCAUCGAUGAAGAACGCAGCGAAAUGCGAUAAGUAGUGUGAAUUGCAGAAUUCAGUGAAUCAUCGAAUCUUUGAACGCACAUUGCGCCCUUUGGUAUUCCAAAGGGCAUGCCUGUUCGAGCGUCAUUUGUACCCUCAAGCUUUGCUUGGUGUUGGGCGUCUUGUCUCUAGCUUUGCUGGAGACUCGCCUUAAAGUAAUUGGCAGCCGGCCUACUGGUUUCGGAGCGCAGCACAAGUCGCACUCUCUAUCAGCAAAGGUCUAGCAUCCAUUAAGCCUUUUUUUCAACUUUUGACCUCGGAUCAGGUAGGGAUACCCGCUGAACUUAAGCAUA